UUCGCAAUCCCGCCUGACACUCAGUCUCAACCUCUGAUGUUAGGAAGGUGAGCAAAGUCUCAGGUGUCAUUGCGGAAGUUACCAAAC
Molecule: microRNA precursor, 87 nt
Filed under: Brugia malayi
Lineage: Eukaryota; Metazoa; Nematoda; Chromadorea; Rhabditida; Onchocercidae
Description: microRNA bma-mir-87b precursor
Gene: bma-mir-87b
Rfam family: mir-87 microRNA precursor family (bases 3-75)
Source: miRBase by way of RNAcentral